This 460-nucleotide ribosomal RNA is filed under the name uncultured Pelotomaculum sp. RNAcentral describes it as "bacterial SSU rRNA". It matches the Rfam family "Bacterial small subunit ribosomal RNA", at positions 923 to 1382 of the family's 1533-position model. Lineage: Bacteria; Bacillati; Bacillota; Clostridia; Eubacteriales; Desulfotomaculaceae. The record is from RNAcentral.
GCACAAGCGGUGAGCAUGUGGUUUAAUUCGACGCAACGCGAAGAACCUUACCAGGGCUUGACAUCCCCUGACCGCGUAUGAAAGUACGUUUUCACCCUCGGGUGACAGGGAGACAGGUGGUGCAUGGUUGUCGUCAGCUCGUGUCGUGAGAUGUUGGGUUAAGUCCCGCAACGAGCGCAACCCCUACGUUUAGUUGCUAACAGGUGAAGCUGAGCACUCUAGACGAACUGCCGUUGACAAAACGGAGGAAGGUGGGAUGACGUCAAAUCAUCAUGCCCCUUAUGUUCUGGGCUACACACGUGCUACAAUGGCCGGUACAGACGGACGCAAAGCCGCGAGGUGGAGCAAAUCCUAAAAAGCCGGUCUCAGUUCGGAUUGCAGGCUGCAAUUCGCCUGCAUGAAGUCGGAAUCGCUAGUAAUCGCAGGUCAGCACACUGCGGUGAAUACGUUCCCGGGCCUU